GACGAACGCUGGCGGCGUGCUUAACACAUGCAAGUCGAACGAAGAGCGAUGGAAGCUUGCUUCUAUCAAUCUUAGUGGCGAACGGGUGAGUAACGCGUAAUCAACCUGCCCUUCAGAGGGGGACAACAGUUGGAAACGACUGCUAAUACCGCAUACGAUCUGACCUCGGCAUCGAGGAUAGAUGAAAGGUGGCCUCUAUUUAUAAGCUAUCACUGAAGGAGGGGAUUGCGUCUGAUUAGCUAGAUGGAGGGGUAACGGCUCACCAAGGCGAUGAUCAGUAGCCGGUCUGAGAGGAUGAACGGCCACAUUGGGACUGAGACACGGCCCAGACUCCUACGGGAGGCAGCAGUGGGGAAUCUUCCGCAAUGGACGAAAGUCUGACGGAGCAACGCCGCGUGAGUGAUGACGGCCUUCGGGUUGUAAAGCUCUGUUAAUCGGGACGAAAGGCCUUCUUGCGAAUAGUUAGAAGGA
RNAcentral lists this ribosomal RNA (471 nucleotides) under Veillonella dispar. RNAcentral describes it as "bacterial SSU rRNA". It matches the Rfam family "Bacterial small subunit ribosomal RNA", at positions 28 to 476 of the family's 1533-position model. Lineage: Bacteria; Bacillati; Bacillota; Negativicutes; Veillonellales; Veillonellaceae. The record is from RNAcentral.